Molecule: ribosomal RNA, 460 nt
Filed under: uncultured bacterium
Lineage: Bacteria
Description: partial 16S ribosomal RNA
Rfam family: Bacterial small subunit ribosomal RNA
Source: RNAcentral
CCUACGGGAGGCAGCAGUGAGGAAUAUUGGUCAAUGGACGAGAGUCUGAACCAGCCAAGUAGCGUGAAGGAUGACUGCCCUAUGGGUUGUAAACUUCUUUUAUAUGGGAAUAAAAUGUUCCACGUGUGGGAUUUUGUAUGUACCAUAUGAAUAAGGAUCGGCUAACUCCGUGCCAGCAGCCGCGGUAAUACGGAGGAUCCGAGCGUUAUCCGGAUUUAUUGGGUUUAAAGGGAGCGUAGGUGGAUUGUUAAGUCAGUUGUGAAAGUUUGCGGCGCAACCGUAAAAUUGCAGUUGAAACUGGCAGUCUUGAGUACAGUAGAGGUGGGCGGAAUGCGUGGUGUAGCGGUGAAAUGCUUAGAUAUCACGAAGAACUCCGAUUGCGAAGGCAGUUCACUGGACUGCAACUGACACUGAGGCUCGAAAGUGUGGGUAUCAAACAGGAUUAGAUACCCCGGUAGUC